GGGCGCGGGAGUUCGAUUCAGGCCUAACACAUGCAAGUCGAGCGGUAGAGAGAAGCUUGCUUCUCUUGAGAACGGCGGACGGGUGAGUAAUGCCUAGGAAUCUGCCUGGUAGUGGGGGAUAACGUUCGGAAACGGACGCUAAUACCGCAUACGUCCUACGGGAGAAAGCAGGGGACCUUCGGGCCUUGCGCUAUCAGAUGAGCCUAGGUCGGAUUAGCUAGUUGGUGAGGUAAUGGCUCACCAAGGCUACGAUCCGUAACUGGUCUGAGAGGAUGAUCAGUCACACUGGAACGGAGACACGGUCCAGACUCCUACGGGAGGCAGCAGUGGGGAAUAUUGGACAAUGGGCGA
RNAcentral lists this ribosomal RNA (351 nucleotides) under uncultured bacterium. RNAcentral's name for it is "bacterial SSU rRNA". It matches the Rfam family "Bacterial small subunit ribosomal RNA", at positions 43 to 378 of the family's 1533-position model. The record is from RNAcentral.